CAGGAUUAGAUACCCUGGUAGUCCACGCCGUAAACGAUGUCGACUUGGAGGUUGUGCCCUUGAGGCGUGGCUUCCGGAGCUAACGCGUUAAGUCGACCGCCUGGGGAGUACGGCCGCAAGGUUAAAACUCAAAUGAAUUGACGGGGGCCCGCACAAGCGGUGGAGCAUGUGGUUUAAUUCGAUGCAACGCGAAGAACCUUACCUGGUCUUGACAUCCACGGAAGUUUUCAGAGAUGAGAAUGUGCCUUCGGGAACCGUGAGACAGGUGCUGCAUGGCUGUCGUCAGCUCGUGUUGUGAAAUGUUGGGUUAAGUCCCGCAACGAGCGCAACCCUUAUCCUUUGUUGCCAGCGGUCCGGCCGGGAACUCAAAGGAGACUGCCAGUGAUAAACUGGAGGAAGGUGGGGAUGACGUCAAGUCAUCAUGGCCCUUACGACCAGGGCUACACACGUGCUACAAUGGCGCAUACAAAGAGAAGCGACCUCGCGAGAGCAAGCGGACCUCAUAAAGUGCGUCGUAGUCCGGAUUGGAGUCUGCAACUCGACUCCAUGAAGUCGGAAUCGCUAGUAAUCGUGGAUCAGAAUGCCACGGUGAAUACGUUCCCGGGCCUUGUACACACCGCCCGUCACACCAUGGGGAGUGGGUUGCAAAAGAAGUAGGUAGCUUAACCUUCGGGAGGGCGCUUACCACUUUGUGAUUCAUGACUGGGGGUGAAGUCGUAACAAGGUAACCA
RNAcentral lists this ribosomal RNA (731 nucleotides) under uncultured bacterium. RNAcentral describes it as "bacterial SSU rRNA". It matches the Rfam family "Bacterial small subunit ribosomal RNA", at positions 773 to 1502 of the family's 1533-position model. The record is from RNAcentral.